UUCAUUAAAGUGUAUUCACAUAAAAAUUUGAUUUUUAAAAAGGUAAACUACCUAAUUAUU
This 60-nucleotide transfer RNA is filed under the name Mesabolivar sp. ITV1036I1. Its description in RNAcentral is "tRNA-Gln". Lineage: Eukaryota; Metazoa; Arthropoda; Arachnida; Araneae; Pholcidae. RNAcentral also lists the same sequence under 1 other name. The record is from RNAcentral.